UAUACCCUCCCAUCUCUUUCGCUGUUCUAUACUUGGUGGACGGAGUGGUGGUUUUAGGUGGUUUCCCUCUUUGUUUCAGAGCGACAACUUGCUGCUACAAUUCAAAGUUCGAUCAAAACUGGGCUGAGGACUGUGCGACUGCUACUAGUGGUUUUCCACCAUCGGUAGGCUCUGAGUUGGUGGUUUUUGGUGGUGCUCCUUUACAACAGAACUAUAUUUUUGCUAUCUGUAUAUGGUUGUAACGCUAUAUACAAUAUGAAUGCUGGUAAAGAUAAUACAAGUCGUGGUGGUGGUCGUAGUAGUGGUAGUGGUGUUGGUAGUGGUCUGCGUGGAGGAAAGACAAAACAAGUUUCAAGGAAACGCAUUGAUUGUGGCAUUGUUAUUCGGGAGCCUGAUCUUAGUAGAGGUGAUGGUGAUGCUGUUUCUG
This 427-nucleotide long non-coding RNA is filed under the name Helianthus annuus (common sunflower). The record is from RNAcentral. Lineage: Eukaryota; Viridiplantae; Streptophyta; Magnoliopsida; Asterales; Asteraceae.